GAUCAGCCCAGCUCCCGGUAAAACGGGACGGCCCGCCAGAGGACCCCUAAACUCUGUUUCUAUAUGUAACUUCUGAGUAAAACCAUAAAUAAAUCAAAACUUUCAACAACGGAUCUCUUGGUUCUGGCAUC
Molecule: ribosomal RNA, 131 nt
Filed under: uncultured fungus
Lineage: Eukaryota; Fungi
Description: partial contains internal transcribed spacer 1 and 5.8S ribosomal RNA
Source: RNAcentral